This 556-nucleotide ribosomal RNA is filed under the name uncultured Microgenomates group bacterium. Its description in RNAcentral is "bacterial SSU rRNA". It matches the Rfam family "Bacterial small subunit ribosomal RNA", at positions 9 to 571 of the family's 1533-position model. The record is from RNAcentral.
GAGUUUGAUUCUGGCUCAGGAUGAACGUUGGCGGCGUGCCUGAGAUAUGCAAGUCGAGCGUGCCCUCUGAUUCGGAGGGCAGCGGCGAACGGCUGAGUAACACGUAGGAACUUGCCCUAAGUAGAGGAUAGCCCAUCGAAAGAUGGGGUAAUACUCUACGGUCCCCGACGUUACGUCGGGGUAAAGGAUUUAACCAUCCGCUUAGGGAGAGACCUGCGGCCUAUCAGGUAGUUGGUAGGGUAACGGCCUACCAAACCGAUGACGGGUAGCUGGCCUUAUGAGGGUGGUCAGCCAGAGGGGGACUGAGACACGGCCCCCACUCCUACGGGAGGCAGCAAUCAGGAAUAGUCGGCAAUGGGCGAAAGCCUGACCGCGCGACGCCGCGUGCGGGAAGAAGCUCUUCGGAGUGUAAACCGCUGUGGUAGGGGAGGAAACCCCGACGUUACGUCGGGGAUGACAGUACCCUACUAGAAAGGGGCCGCUAACUGCGUGCCAGAAGCGUCGGUAAUACGUGGGCCCCAAACGUUAUCCGGUUUUACUGGGCGUAAAGGGUCGU